Molecule: long non-coding RNA, 400 nt
Filed under: Mytilus galloprovincialis (Mediterranean mussel)
Lineage: Eukaryota; Metazoa; Mollusca; Bivalvia; Mytilida; Mytilidae
Source: RNAcentral
CAUUUGGAUAAAAAAUGUCUUAUCACCAAAAGUUGAGGACGAGUGGGGACUAACCAUGUGUAUAAAAGAUCGAGAUUUUCUAAUUGGUGAGAGUCUGUUGGAUACUGAAACUGAAUGUAUCAAAAACAGUAGGUAUAUUAUUUUCCUCAUCACUCCUGAGUUCAAAUCGUCACGUGAUUGUUUGUUUGAACUCGACAGAGCAAAAUAUGCAAAAAGUAACAAAAAAUCUAGACAAAAUUAUUGUAAUAACAAAAGAUAUCAUAGUAACUGAUAUUCCCUAUGAGUUUUCGUACAUUUGGAAUAAUGCCUAUGUUGUACAAUGACCGAAAGAGGAAGAAGAUUUAAAUGAUACAUGGAGACGAUUGAAGAUGUUGGUAACAGUUUGCCAAGUUCAAAACAA